AGGGCUGCACGAUACUGGAAAAAUCUGACACUGAAAUUUUUUUAACCCUGCGAUAUACAUUGCGAUAUGAAAAACUAUUCAGGAGGAUGUAAUAGCUGUGUAGUGUGGACGUAAAUGGUCAAACAAAUUAGCUGUGUUUCCUCUCGUUGUGGUGACAGUUCCCAGUUAUUAUCG
Molecule: long non-coding RNA, 174 nt
Organism: Sphaeramia orbicularis (orbiculate cardinalfish)
Lineage: Eukaryota; Metazoa; Chordata; Actinopteri; Kurtiformes; Apogonidae
Exons: 3
Source: RefSeq, a predicted model, not a curated record